CAUGCAGUCGAGCGGAACGAGUUAUCUGAACCUUCGGGGAACGAUAACGGCGUCGAGCGGCGGACGGGUGAGUAAUGCCUAGGAAAUUGCCCUGAUGUGGGGGAUAACCAUUGGAAACGAUGGCUAAUACCGCAUAAUACCUACGGGUCAAAGAGGGGGACCUUCGGGCCUCUCGCGUCAGGAUAUGCCUAGGUGGGAUUAGCUAGUUGGUGAGGUAAUGGCUCACCAAGGCGACGAUCCCUAGCUGGUCUGAGAGGAUGAUCAGCCACACUGGAACUGAGACACGGUCCAGACUCCUACGGGAGGCAGCAGUGGGGAAUAUUGCACAAUGGGCGCAAGCCUGAUGCAGCCAUGCCGCGUGUGUGAAGAAGGCCUUCGGGUUGUAAAGCACUUUCAGUCGUGAGGAAGGUGGURUAGUUAAUAGCACYAUCAUUUGACGUUAGCGACAGAAGAAGCACCGGCUAACUCCGUGCCAGCAGCCGCGGUAAUACGGAGGGUGCGAGCGUUAAUCGGAAUUACUGGGCGUAAAGCGCAUGCAGGUGGUUUGUUAAGUCAGAUGUGAAAGCCCGGGGCUCAACCUCGGAAUAGCAUUUGAAACUGGCAGACUAGAGUACUGUAGAGGGGGGUAGAAUUUCAGGUGUAGCGGUGAAAUGCGUAGAGAUCUGAAGGAAUACCGGUGGCGAAGGCGGCCCCCUGGACAGAUACUGACACUCAGAUGCGAAAGCGUGGGAGCAAACAGGAUUAGAUACCCUGGUAGUCCACGCCGUAAACGAUGUCUACUUGGAGGUUGUGGCCUUGAGCCGUGGCUUUCGGAGCUAACGCGUUAAGUAGACCGCCUGGGGAGUACGGUCGCAAGAUUAAAACUCAAAUGAAUUGACGGGGGCCCGCACAAGCGGUGGAGCAUGUGGUUUAAUUCGAUGCAACGCGAAGAACCUUACCUACUCUUGACAUCCAGAGAACUUUCCAGAGAUGGAUUGGUGCCUUCGGGAACUCUGAGACAGGUGCUGCAUGGCUGUCGUCAGCUCGUGUUGUGAAAUGUUGGGUUAAGUCCCGCAACGAGCGCAACCCUUAUCCUUGUUUGCCAGCACUUCGGGUGGGAACUCCAGGGAGACUGCCGGUGAUAAACCGGAGGAAGGUGG
Molecule: ribosomal RNA, 1139 nt
Filed under: Vibrio sp. H2B
Lineage: Bacteria; Pseudomonadati; Pseudomonadota; Gammaproteobacteria; Vibrionales; Vibrionaceae
Description: bacterial SSU rRNA
Rfam family: Bacterial small subunit ribosomal RNA
Source: RNAcentral